UGAAUACGAGAUGCUACGGCGUCGAAGCAGUGUAUGUCAGACUUCCAAGAAAAGCUCGCAAUGUCAUAAAUAAAGAAUGCCUGUACCAUAACCGACACAGGUGGGUAGGUAGAGUAUACUAAGGGGCGCGAGAUAACUCUCUCUAAGGAACUCGGCAAAAUAACUCCGUAACUUCGGGAGAAGGAGUGCCUUCUUUAAGAAGGUUGCAAUAACAAGAUCCAAGCAACUGUUUAUCAAAAACACAGGUCUCCGCUAAGUCGUAAGACGAUGUAUGGGGGCUGACGCCUGCCCAGUGCCAGAAGGUUAAAGAAGUUGGUUAGCUUUUGCGAAGCUGAUGACUGAAGCCCUGGUGAACGGCGGCCGUAACGAUAACGGUCCUAAGGUAGCGAAAUUCCUUGUCGGGUAAGUUCCGACCCGCACGAAAGGCGUAAUGAUUUGGAUACUGUCUCGGAGAGGGACUCGGUGAAAUAGACUUGUCUGUGAAGAUGCGGACUACCUGCACCAGGACAGAAAGACCCUAUGAAGCUUUACUGUAACUUGAAAUUGAAAUUGGACUUUAUUUGCGCAGUAUAGGUGGAAGGCGUUGAAAGUAAUCUUGCGGGAUUAGUGGAGCCAUCAGUGAGAUACCACUCCUAUAAUGUUAGAUUUCUAACUUUGGAUCAUGAUCUGGUCAAAGAACAGUUUCAGGCGGGCAGUUUGACUGGGGCGGUCGCCUCCCAAAUGGUAACGGAGGCGUACAAAGGUUUCCUCUGAACGGGUAGAAAUCGUAUCUAGAGUGUAAAGGCAUAAGGAAGCUUGACUGUGAGACCUACAAGUCGAGCAGGGACGAAAGUCGGUCUUAGUGAUCUGACGGUGCUGAGUGGAAAGGCCGUCACUCAACGGAUAAAAGUUACUCUAGGAUAACAGGCUGAUCUCCCCCAAGAGUUCACAUCGACGGGGAGGUUUGGCACCUCGAUGUCGGCUCAUCGCAUCCUGGGGCGGUAGUACGUCCGAAGGGUUGGGCUGUUCGCCCAUGAAAGCGGUACGCGAGCUGGGUUCAGAACGUCGUGAGACAGUUCGGUCCAUAUCCGGUGUAGGCGUUAGAAUAUUGAGAGGAGCCUUCUUUAGUACGAGAGGACCGAGAAGGACAUACCUCUGGUGUACCAGUUAUCGUGCCAACGGUAAACGCUGGGUAGCUAUGUAUGGAGAGGAUAACCGCUGAAAGCAUCUAAGUGGGAAGCCCACCUCAAGAUGAUUGCUCUCACAGGGUUAACCUGGUAAGGUCACGGGAAGACCACCCGUCGAUAGGCACUCGGUGGAAGUCCAGCAAUGGAUGAAGCCAAGGUGUACUAACAGACCGAGGGCUUGA
RNAcentral lists this ribosomal RNA (1348 nucleotides) under metagenome. Its description in RNAcentral is "bacterial LSU rRNA". It matches the Rfam family "Bacterial large subunit ribosomal RNA", at positions 1564 to 2925 of the family's 2925-position model. The record is from RNAcentral.